UAAUACGUAGGGGGCAAGCGUUGUCCGGAUUUAUUGGGCGUAAAGAGCGUGUAGGCGGCCAGGUAGGUCCGUUGUGAAAACUCGAGGCUCAACCUCGAGCUGUCGAUGGAAACCAUCUGGCUAGAGUCCGGAAGAGGAGAGUGGAAUUCCCGGUGUAGCGGUGAAAUGCGCAGAUAUCGGGAAGAACACCCGUGGCGAAGGCGGCUCUCUGGGACGGUACUGACGCUGAGACGCGAAAGCGUGGGGAGCGAACAGGAUUAGAUACCCUGGUAGUCCACGCCGUAAACGAUGGGUGCUAGGUGUGGGCGGUGUCGACUCCGUCCGUGCCGAAGCUAACGCAUUAAGCACCCCGCCUGGGGAGUACGGCCGCAAGGCUA
This 377-nucleotide ribosomal RNA is filed under the name uncultured bacterium. Its description in RNAcentral is "bacterial SSU rRNA". It matches the Rfam family "Bacterial small subunit ribosomal RNA", at positions 521 to 896 of the family's 1533-position model. The record is from RNAcentral.